Molecule: transfer RNA, 62 nt
Filed under: Metasalis populi
Lineage: Eukaryota; Metazoa; Arthropoda; Insecta; Hemiptera; Tingidae
Description: tRNA-Ala
Source: RNAcentral
GAGAUUAUAGUUAAUUAUAACAUUUAAUUUGCAAUUAAAAAUUAUCCUUAUGAUUUUUCUCA